RNAcentral lists this long non-coding RNA (233 nucleotides) under Setaria viridis. RNAcentral's name for it is "long non-coding RNA (SVIR_LNC001446)". Lineage: Eukaryota; Viridiplantae; Streptophyta; Magnoliopsida; Poales; Poaceae. The record is from RNAcentral.
UGUCCUCUGUGCACAUGGACCAGAAUGGUGGCUUGGACUCCGAUCCGCAAGAACGGUGAAGGACCGAAAGGCUGACAAGAAAGGGAAGAAUGGGAGUCUAUAAAAAUUCUCAACGAGAACAAAGCCUAUAUCCCAAACGCAACCCCACGUCACACCGCAUGUUUUAUCAUCAAGAUGACACAAGUCAACUCAAUAAUACGGCGAAACAUUUAUACAAAACACCUAUCCCGAGC